AAGGAGUUAGUUAAAAUAUAACAUUAGAGUGUCAAUCUAAAAUAACUAAUUAUUAGUACACCUUG
This 65-nucleotide transfer RNA is filed under the name Leptopternis gracilis. Its description in RNAcentral is "tRNA-Asp". RNAcentral also lists the same sequence under 3 other names. The record is from RNAcentral. Lineage: Eukaryota; Metazoa; Arthropoda; Insecta; Orthoptera; Acrididae.